GGGCGGGUGAUGAUACUAGUGUUGGAGGGUUUCCGCCCUUCAGUGCUGCAGCUAACGCAUUAAGUAAUCCGCCUGGGGAGUACGACCGCAAGGUUGAAACUCAAAAGAAUUGACGGGGGCCCGCACAAGCGGUGGAGCAUGUGGUUUAAUUCGAAGCUACGCGAAGAACCUUACCAGGUCUUGACAUCUUCUGCCAACCUAAGAGAUUAGGCGUUCCCUUCGGGGACAGAAUGACAGGUGGUGCAUGGUUGUCGUCAGCUCGUGUCGUGAGAUGUUGGGUUAAGUCCCGCAACGAGCGCAACCCUUAUUACUAGUUGCCAGCAUUCAGUUGGGCACUCUAGUGAGACUGCCGGUGACAAACCGGAGGAAGGUGGGGACGACGUCAAAUCAUCAUGCCCCUUAUGACCUGGGCUACACACGUGCUACAAUGGAUGGUACAACGAGUCGCGAAACCGCGAGGUUUAGCUAAUCUCUUAAAACCAUUCUCAGUUCGGACUGUAGGCUGCAACUCGCCUACACGAAGUCGGAAUCGCUAGUAAUCGCGGAUCAGCAUGCCGCGGUGAAUACGUUCCCGGGCCUUGUACACACCGCCCGUCACACCAUGAGAGUUUGUAACACCCAAAGCCGGUGGGGUAACCUUUUAGGAGCUAGCCGUCUAAGGUGGGACAGAUGAUUAGGGUGAAGUCGUAAAAGGGGUAACCAAACCAGAAGCAAAAAUAAUCAUUUUGGGCAAAG
RNAcentral lists this ribosomal RNA (735 nucleotides) under Pediococcus acidilactici. Its description in RNAcentral is "bacterial SSU rRNA". It matches the Rfam family "Bacterial small subunit ribosomal RNA", at positions 797 to 1533 of the family's 1533-position model. The record is from RNAcentral. Lineage: Bacteria; Bacillati; Bacillota; Bacilli; Lactobacillales; Lactobacillaceae.